This 944-nucleotide long non-coding RNA is filed under the name Toxoplasma gondii VEG. The record is from RNAcentral. Lineage: Eukaryota; Apicomplexa; Conoidasida; Eucoccidiorida; Sarcocystidae.
GUUUAGGAGAAAGUGGAGGAAAUCGUCUGUGUUUUCCGCAAGAAGGAGCUCUGUUCCUCCGGAAAAAGGGUGACCCUGGCGCUGCAGUCGCAGCCGCAGCCUCUCUCGUAUAUCCCGCGACUGACGUCGGGUGGUCGGUCUACCGGAAAAAAAGCAACAGAGGUUCCAAAUUGAGGAAUUCCUGUCAGACGUGUGUCGCGUCUUGCCGAUGGCCGAGCAACUCGCACUAAAAUGCGUGCCUUUCGGUCCAACACAGACGUUCUCGUCGUGAAACAACUCGCUGCGAACAGCAGGCGCCAGACCGCAGGUGACCCUGCGUGUCUGUACAACGCCCCAGCCAGACUCAGUUCUCGAGUCUGUGUGGAUGGCUGUUUCGGAAAUUGGACGGAGGGAUUCGAGCUGUGAAUCCUGUCAGGAACUCGACGAGAAUAUGGCGGCAUCGAAGCGAGAACAAUCAAGGACUCGGGGAGGGGAAUCCUAGCUGGUGUCACCAAAGUUCAGACCCACGCGCCACGAGCUUUAACCACGGACAACAAGAGGACUUUUUCCUAGAGCUUCGAAACACAACGCCACGCUUCGUGGAGAGCAGAUGCGUUUUAUUGAAAUUACGGGCACAGUCGGACCAUCCUUGGCCAUUCAUUUUAAGAGUUAAAGAGUCAUUUGCUUUUCGCUUCUACCGUUACAUUCAGGAGGAUGCGGACCAAGAGGAAAAGGUGUGCCUUCGCCGUGCAUUUUCUCGUGGCUUACUGGAAACACAGAAGCGACAGCGUCUUCGUCGAAACAAGUUGGCCUCCUGGUGUAGAUCUUUCACGUUUUUGGUUACCGAGUCCAAGUUCUGUUCUGUUGACACGGCUUCGAGGACCGGCGCCUACACAUGGCUAGUGUUUUCUGCCUUUAUGCUGGUCUGGAACCUUCGUGACUGAGAUGCAGCGGAUCAUUUGUAC